This 468-nucleotide ribosomal RNA is filed under the name uncultured bacterium. RNAcentral describes it as "partial 16S ribosomal RNA". It matches the Rfam family "Bacterial small subunit ribosomal RNA", at positions 28 to 507 of the family's 1533-position model. The record is from RNAcentral.
GACGAACGCUGGCGGCGUGCUUAACACAUGCAAGUCGAACGGAAAGGCCCUGCUUUUGUGGGUUGCUCGAGUGGCGAACGGGUGAGUAACACGUGAGUAACCUGCCCUUGACUUUGUGAUAUCUUCAGGAAACUGGGGCUAAUACCGGAUAGGAGCUCCUGCUGCACGGUGGGGGUUGGAAAGUUUCGGCGGUGGGGGAUGGACUCGCGGCUUAUCAGCUUGUUGGUGGGGUAGUGGCUUACCAAGGUUUUGACGGGUAGCCCGCCUGGGAGGGUGACCGGCGACAUUGGGACUGAGAUAGGGCCCAGACUCCUACGGGAGGCAGCAGUGGGGAAUAUUGCACAAUGGGCGGAAGCCUGAUGCAGCAACGCCGCGUGCGUGAUGACGGCCUUCGGGUUGUAAACCGCUGUCGCAUGUGACGAAGCGUGAGUGACGGUAAUGGGUAAAGAAGCACCGGCUAACUACGUG